This 202-nucleotide ribosomal RNA is filed under the name uncultured eukaryote. Its description in RNAcentral is "partial small subunit ribosomal RNA". It matches the Rfam family "Eukaryotic small subunit ribosomal RNA", at positions 1296 to 1461 of the family's 1831-position model. The record is from RNAcentral.
AGUUGGUGGAGUGAUCUGUCUGGUUAAUUCCGUUAACGAACGAGACCUUAACCUGCUAAAUAGUUACGCUACCCUUCUACUCGUACCUUCUUCGGUUGUCGCUCUUCGGGGUGGCAGUCGGGUGGGUCGGAACGGGUAAGUGCUUAACUUCUUAGAGGGACUAUUCGUUUCCAGCGAAUGGAAGUUUGAGGCAAUAACAGGU